Molecule: long non-coding RNA, 1868 nt
Filed under: Homo sapiens (human)
Lineage: Eukaryota; Metazoa; Chordata; Mammalia; Primates; Hominidae
Description: HSALNT0339199
Source: RNAcentral
CUUUCCUCUGGAACGCUCGACUGCUUAAGAGAAAAAUGCCUCAAAUGAGCAUGUGCACAACUCCAGCAAACACGCUGGACAUGCGGCCUCUCCCAAGUGCUGGCAGGCCACUGCACAUGUGGACCCACGGGAAGAAUCAGGAGAGAAGAAAUGCAAACCCCAGAGUCAUGCCAAGAGAGUCCUUUCUAUGGAGGAGACAUUAUGCUAGAAUUUUCACACAGAUUAUUUUAUUUAACUCCAAGAACUACUCCAUGAAAUAGGCAUGAUCAUCACCUUCAUUGUUUACAGGUAAGAAAACUAAAGUUCACAGUGGUUAAAUUGCUUGUCCAUAGUUGCAUGUGUAGUAAGAGGGGCUAGAGAGUAGGAAUUUCAUAUCAUUUUGAGCUCUUGAGUUUGUAAGCAUCGUUUUUCUUUAGAGUUAUCUCCUGGUUUUCCAUGAUAGAAAGUCUUUCUUGGACUUUUUUUCUGGCGCAAGCAUUCCUUCUCAUACUUAAAUUCUUCACAAAUAUCCUUGACUUUUCUAUUAAUUCUAAAUUGCAGUCUAUAGUCCCACAAAGUGUAAAAGUAUGAAAUGUUAAAAUUCUUUGUUUAAAAGCAUUCAUUAUUACUUACAUUUCUAAAUGAAUGUAAGAAAUGCAAUAACUUAGCAAACAGAAAGUUCAAUCAGAUUUGCUCAUGCAGGGGUCUUAUGAUAUUUCAAUGAAGAUUGAUGUCCAUUCUAUGGCUAAAGUGGCAGGACACAAAACAUAAUAGAAUUGUGCAAAUACAGAGAAAAAGUAAUGCAUUCCAAGCUAUAAGAAAGUGCCUUCCUUGAUUAGGUAUGUUAUCAUACUGUGGUUCUGUUCCUGUUUAUUCUUGCAUUUGUUCAGAGUUAUGCUUUUGAAAGAAAUCAAAAUAUUUCACCCCAAAAUAUACUUAUUUAACAUAUUUUGACAUCGCUAUUAAGAGGGCUUGUAAACAGAAUGAGCCCUGCAAAGCUGUCUUUUGUGGGGGAGAUUUGCAUCUGUAGAAAAUGUGCAUCGAUGUGGCCGGGUUUCUCUGAGGCCUUGCCUUGUGGAACCCUAACAAACAUUAAUUUCUGUAAGGGUUUAAUGUAAGCCACAUACUCUUCUGAGAUUAGCAUAUUUUAGUACCACAUUAUCUCUUAUACUAGUCAUUGCAAUGACAAGAAAAUAAAUAGAAAAUUCAGGCCAAAAGCUAUCUAUCAAAAGUAAUUUUUAAACUUCCACAGCAAAAUUCCUACCUUUCAGGUAUGUUUACAAUGAUGAAAAAACUAUUUUCUAAUUUUUAAAGUUGUAUCCUUGAUAUAAUGAGAUAAAAUGUGGAUUUAAAACCAGUGAUUAACAGUGUCUCCCCAAUAACAAAUAAAAGACAGCUUUCAAGAUCUCAAAGAAACAUUUACUACAUCUUUUGAGGGUUGCUACCUGUGGGUUUCCACCUACGUAACAAAACCAUCUUUGCUAGCCAUGUCUCCUCUUUUUCCCUCCUGUAACCUGUUUUGCCACUAUAACCUGUUUUGUCAGAGCCAAGCCUCAUACAUUCUGUAAUCUCAGUAUGGCAUAUAUGCUUCUGAACCACACUUGAAGGUUGGGGUUAUGUAAUCACUCCGUGGUUCUUCCCCAUAUGCAUGUUGAUACAUUUGUAUGCCUUUGCUCCAAUCAAUCAGUCUUUUGUGAGUUGAUUUUACAGCAAAAUUUCAGAGGACAAACGGAAAUGUUUCCAUUGGUCCCUACACUUUAAAUGUAUACAUUUUAAAUUUAUUACCAGUGACUAUAUACUUAUAUUUUAACAAUGCUACUGCAAAGUAACAAAAAUGUGAAAUAUUGAAUGUAUGGCUUAAGAGAUCUACAAUAAAUGAUUAUGUGAAG